UCGGGAAUUUUGGGCAGUGGGCGAAAGCCUGACCCAGUAACGCCGCGUGAAGGAUGAAGUAUUUCGGUAUGUAAACUUCGAAAGAAUAGGAAGAAUAAAUGACGGUACUAUUUAUAAGGUCCGGCUAACUACGUGCCAGCAGCCGCGGUAAUACGUAGGGACCAAGCGUUGUUCGGAUUUACUGGGCGUAAAGGGUGUGUAGGCGGUUGUGUUAGUCCUUCGUGAAAGCUCCCGGACUCAAUCCGGGAAACGCGGCGGAAACGGCACAACUUCGAGGACGCGAGAGGUAGAGGGAACUCAUGGUGUAGGGGUGAAAUCCGUUGAUAUCAUGGGGAACACCAAAUGCGAAGGCACUCUACUGGCGCGCUCCUGACGCUGAGACACGAAAGCGUGGGAAUCGAAUGGGAUUAGAUACCCAGGUAGUCCCUGAGCGGGCUGGCAAGGCGCAU
Molecule: ribosomal RNA, 449 nt
Filed under: uncultured bacterium
Lineage: Bacteria
Description: bacterial SSU rRNA
Rfam family: Bacterial small subunit ribosomal RNA
Source: RNAcentral